This is a long non-coding RNA of Passer domesticus (house sparrow), 305 nucleotides long. RefSeq lists it as uncharacterized. The record is from RefSeq and is a predicted model, not a curated record. Lineage: Eukaryota; Metazoa; Chordata; Aves; Passeriformes; Passeridae. The transcript has 3 exons.
UAACAGCUGACCAUAAUAACCAAGGUCAAAUUAUCUCACUGAAACAAAUGCUGCCAAGUGCUUGGUAUUAAUAAUGCAUUGAAAGCUGCAGCCACAUCUGAUGUUUUCUUCACUCUUGAGGAAAAGGAUUAUUGUUUAACUGGAUUUCCCUCCUGGAUCCCCAUAGGACAGUCUCUGAAACAGCCUGAAUGUUAAUGUUCCCCAUAUCUUGUUCUGAAUAUUCCUCAUGUCUUGUUUGUCUUCUCUAACGUAUCUCCCCUAGUCCCCUAGGAAUGAGGCCUUUUGUCACAGUAUGUGAUUUGUCC